UUUUAGGUGACAUUUAUAAACUGAUUGUUUCACAGAGAGUGAAUGGGUGCGGCCUCGGGGCACCCAGUUCUCAGAUCUGGCCCUGACUGCAAGCAACAUCAAACUGCAAAGAUUGAAGUCAGAAAAUGCCCUGAUAUACAGUUGAUGUCACCCAUCACCUGAGAGGUGAAGCAAAUCCAAUGCUUCAUAUUGUAUUCUGCAUAAUAACACAAGUGAUGUACUGUUAUUAGGCUGCUGCUCUAGAUAAUUACUUGUGGCACAGUGUUAUCACACAAGAAUGAGUUUUACUUCUCCAAGCAAAGUGCUGGAUUUUAUGAAGCAAAACUUUCCGUGGAUGAAAGGCAAAAAACGGCAGGAAAAGGAAAGUUGUAGUUACAGAUGUACAUCCCGUUAGCUCUGUAUAAACACUGUAUAGUAAAUAUGUGUUCUUAAUAAACUA
Long non-coding RNA from Xenopus tropicalis (tropical clawed frog), 439 nucleotides. RefSeq lists it as uncharacterized. NCBI's taxonomy places the organism in Eukaryota, Metazoa, Chordata, Amphibia, Anura, Pipidae. The record is from RefSeq and is a predicted model, not a curated record. The transcript is spliced from 2 exons.